Choloepus didactylus (southern two-toed sloth) is the source of this 251-nucleotide long non-coding RNA. RefSeq lists it as uncharacterized. NCBI's taxonomy places the organism in Eukaryota, Metazoa, Chordata, Mammalia, Pilosa, Megalonychidae. The transcript is spliced from 3 exons. The record is from RefSeq and is a predicted model, not a curated record.
CAUCUAUGGAACAGGUGCUAUGCUACACCCUGGAGCAAAAAGACAAAUAUGUCAAAGUUCUUCUUCUCAAUGAGUUCAUAGUCUAAUGGGAGAGACAAUCAACUACUACUGCCUCUUCCAGGAAGACCUCUCUGACUAAAUCUGUCCACUGCAAUCUCUUGCAGCUCUGAACUGAUUUUGUCCUUGGAGAUGAGAAUGCUUCCUGAGAUAAUGUGGGAGUUGCCCUGGAGGACUUCAGCUAACACUCUCCA